This 255-nucleotide ribosomal RNA is filed under the name Listeria monocytogenes. RNAcentral describes it as "partial 23S ribosomal RNA". It matches the Rfam family "Bacterial large subunit ribosomal RNA", at positions 2297 to 2551 of the family's 2925-position model. The record is from RNAcentral. Lineage: Bacteria; Bacillati; Bacillota; Bacilli; Caryophanales; Listeriaceae.
GUAACGGAGGCGCCCAAAGGUUCCCUCAGAAUGGAUGGAAAUCAUUCGCAGAGUGUAAAGGCACAAGGGAGCUUGACUGCGAGACUGACAAGUCGCGCAGGGACGAAAGUCGGGCUUAGUGAUCCGGGGGUUCCGCAUGGAAGGGCCAUCGCUCAACGGAUAAAAGCUACCCCGGGGAUAACAGGCUUAUCUCCCCCAAGAGUCCACAUCGACGGGGAGGUUUGGCACCUCGAUGUCGGCUCGUCGCAUCCUGGG